This 253-nucleotide ribosomal RNA is filed under the name uncultured bacterium. RNAcentral's name for it is "partial 16S ribosomal RNA". It matches the Rfam family "Bacterial small subunit ribosomal RNA", at positions 524 to 776 of the family's 1533-position model. The record is from RNAcentral.
UACGUAGGGGGCAAGCGUUGUCCGGAAUCAUUGGGCGUAAAGCGCGCGUAGGCGGCCUCAUAAGUCCGCUGUAAAAGUCAAAGGCUCAACCUUUGAAUGCCGGUGGAUACUGUGAGGCUAGAGUCCGGAAGAGGCGAGUGGAACUCCUGGUGUAGCGGUGGAAUGCGCAGAUAUCAGGAAGAACACCAACGGCGAAGGCAGCUCGCUGGGACGGUACUGACGCUGAGGCGCGAAAGCGUGGGGAGCAAACAGG